Molecule: long non-coding RNA, 10955 nt
Filed under: Zea mays
Lineage: Eukaryota; Viridiplantae; Streptophyta; Magnoliopsida; Poales; Poaceae
Description: long non-coding RNA (ZMAY_LNC002828)
Source: RNAcentral
UGCAAGUCACAAUCGCAUCUGUAAUUCUGUAUUCGUCGUUUCAACAACAACAACCACCACCAGUUAGUUCGUUGAAGUAGGCUAAAAUUAAAAAAACACAGAACCCACGAGUCAAAGAUUUAUUUCGACAUGAUGGUGGGGAGGUGACUCACCAGGUGGCUAGCAAGGAUGACGUUGGCGCCCUUCUCGAGGAGGCGCGGAUGCGGUCCGAUGUCGUCGGUUAUCUUCUGGCCGUCAUCGAGUCGAGGUCAGCGCGACAGCCUUCUUCCUCUUCAGAUCCGACCCCGAGGGUGCCCACGCAGCCACGCUCACUCCCCUGCACGCAGCAGGCAGCACCACCUGGGAGGGAGAUUUUUGGAUCCCUGGAGGUCGACAGCUUUGAAAAUUUGUUAUCUUCGACACAGCAACCAGUAGCUGACGCGCAUCCUGCACGUGAGGUUAAGACGUUUGAUAGUGAGAAAGGUGAGUUUUCAGUUUACAAAUAAUUAUAGGGAUAGGUUGUUCUUGCAAUUCAAUAUAUGUGAAUAAGGUGGUUUUUGGAUACUUUUCUGCAUUUAGUCCAUUUAGAGCAACUCUAAGAGAAAGCUAAAAAUAUCCCCCAAAAAUAAUUAUUAGAGGAAGGCUAAAAAAAUUUAGAGGUAAAUUAUAGUGUAUACAGUACUCCAACAGUUUCUUAAACAAAUGCUGAAAACUCCAAUCUGGCCCAAGAUGCAAGGCGUUUAUUUUCCUGCUAUUGAAUCAACAUGCGCAUACUACUAGACCAUUCCAGUUGCAGUCGAACAAUUGAACUGAAAAUAAUUGAAACAACUAAAGCUAACUAGCUACGAUAAUCUGGAUCCUAGAAAACGUUUCCAAGUAAAAAUGCUACGAACCAGCACAGGAGGAAGUGAGAAAAAAACAUGUAUACACGGUAGUCCAGGAAUUUAAGUGUGCCAUGGCUACGCCAGCCUCUGAAGUCUGAAUCAUAGAACAGGGGUAAAUUUUUGGACCUUGCUAGAAACUAUAAACAGACAAUUAUGGCUUCAAACAACUGUCGUCAGUCCCUGAUCGAGGCACACAAACUGUAAAAGAUAAACAUACGAUUGAUCGAGAUAUCCAUUAUGAACAUUGUGUGACAUGCUAGUAAUAUUAACAUCUCAAGCAACGACCAUGUAGCUAGUUUCUAACACAAAUGAAAGACAAAAGAUCUUUGGAUAAAGGCAUGUCGGCCUACUACUUGUCCAACUUCCUAGUUCAUGAAAACAAGUCAGUCUCCUACCAAUUCAUCUUCCCAGCACAUGAAGACACAUAAAAAAAACAUGUAGACAUAGCAGCAGAAUGGCCCUACUAUCAGAAACUGAGAUAGCAGGCUGUGCCAUGAACCAUUCAUUACUCCCCACCAGACUGUGUAGAAUAUCCCAUCCACCUCCUACAAGCAACUGCAAGGGCAUCAAUACCUGGAGCAAUCAAGAAAUACAAAACUAGUAGUUCUAGAACUAAAUCACAACUCACAUAAACUCUGCUAUCUAUUCAAUCCUUAUCUCAGGGCAGGGGGCGAGGCAGGGCAGGGGCCGCGCUGUGCGCGCCUGCAAGGCUACGCACUGUCGCUGCUACUAGCGGGCGGAGGGCUGGGUGCUGCUGGGGCUGGGAGCUGGUGGCUGGCUGCCGAGUGCGUCUGCACGGGAGGAGGGAUGAAGGAGCCGACUCUACUGGACGAGAUGCGAGGGCGGACCGGUGCCACUGCCGCAGCCAUCCUUGUGGCCACUGCCGCCUCCGACGACACCGAUCAGGCCUCUCCCGCCAUGGCUACACCAACACAAAAGCGCGCGAGGGCGAAAAUGGGCGCCGGAAACAGGUGAUAUGCGCGACAGCGAAGGGAUUGGGGGAUUUCACCUCGCGCAAAUUUGCGGGAUGAAUCGGCUCGGAUGCGUGACGGCGAAAAUAUGGGGGAAGUUUGGACGAGCUGUUGGAGGAGGGAGAACGAGCUUUCUCCCUAAAAAAGGUUUUUCGGGGUCUUUUAGCAUCGUUCUUGGAGAUGCUCUUAUACUGUGGAGUACCUUUUUUUUCUUUUGCUGUUAGAUCAGGUCAACUUUGCAUGUGCUAUCUAAUUGUCAGCACAUUUACUUUUUACUUUUAUUGUCUAUAAUUUGAAGGCUCUUUUCCUCCCCAGAUUGGGUCAACUGAAUGGGUUGAAGACAACCUUGAAGAUCCGCAUUGCAAAGUUGUAGCUUACUUGAAUGUUGAUUGUUCAGUGCAAGGCGUGGGAUUUUUUUUCCUGGCUCUACUCCCCAGUUGGACAAACUCUUAGUUGUGAUGGAAUUUCGUUUUUUGCAGGAGGGUGUGUGUUUAUUUCCUGACAUUGUUGAUCUUUCUAGAACUUUCUCGAAGGUGUGCCUUAAUUAUCAUAAGUAAUUAUGUCUGUCUUUAGAUUUAUUCCUUAGAAUAAUGAUGUAGCUGAGUUUUUUUCUCGAACACGCAGGAGAGCUGCGUAUCAUUUCAUUAAAAGAUGGAUGAUAAUUACAAUGACCUAAACACCACUCACACAAACACACACACAAACAACACUAGUAAUAAUAACCACCUUCUAACCGGGGUUGAACACAAAAGCUAGGUCCGAAAGACGGGUCAAGCCUUUGGCCCCCGCAAAACACCACAUAUUGAACUCAUCACUGGUUGAGGUAAGCAAUCUAGCUAUAGAAGGCUGAGCACCAUUGAAAACACAGUCAUUACGGUGUCUCCAGAUAGUCCAAGCCCCAAGAAUCACCAAAGAGUUAAGGCCAUCUCUAAGGUCCUUAGGAGUAACCUCAGCCGAUCUACUCCACCAAGCUUCAAAAUUGAUAUCUUCCGUCCCGGGGGAGAGUGCGGACAGGCCGACCCGCUGGAGAAGAAGAUACCAAAAUUGCCUCGCGAGGACACAAGAAACAAGCAAGUGAUGAAUAGACUCUCCUUCCUGGUCACAUAAGGGGCAAGAACUAGGAUGGGGAAGACCCCUCUUAGCGAGCCGGUCAGCCGUCCAACAUUUAUUAUGUAGGACCAACCAGAGGAAAAACUGACACUUCGGCGGCGCCCAGGUGCUCCACACUCUCUCAAAGCCCGCCAUGGAGGUAGAACCACAGAACAUUAUCUCAUAAGCAGAUUUGGCCGAAUAGAUACCAUUGGAAGAGAACCUCCAAUAAUGUUUAUCUGGAACUCCCGGUUGAAGAUCAACAUCAGCCACAACAUCUGCCAGCAAAAUGAAGUCAGCAAUGACCUCCCAAGAUACCACUCCCCUUAAAUCCCCAAUCCAUGAUGAGCUACACAGAGCAUCAGCCACUGUCCUUCGCUUCACCAGCCUUUUAGGAACCAAACUAAAAACAUGAGGGGCCAAGUCUGCAAUCCUCUGACCCAGGAUCCAUCUGUCAUGCCAAAAAAGAGUGGACUGCCCAUCACCCACUAUGGAGGCCAUUGCCAAAGAGCACAAGCUAUCCAAGAACCGGUUUGAAUGGAAUGGCAAAUCAGUCCAUUGUUUCGAAAAUAUUAUAGCACGUGGAUUCAAGUAUUUGUAAAGCAUCACAUGAGCUGAAAAUAUUGUUUUAUAUCUCAACAAUUGUGUACAAUGUACAAAAUCUACAUGUUUGCUUUGAUUCAUUCUCUUUUGUUAUUAUUAUAAAGAUGAUUUACUUAUUUAAUGUUUCUCCAUUUUCAGCUACAGCAGUUGGUUGAGCACAUUUCAGUAACAGAUAAUGCUAACAUACCUGUCUGUUUUUCUUAACAAAUGAUAAUCUCAUGCCACUAAAACACAUGAAAAUACCUGUCUAUUUUUUUCAUCUGUAUCAUCUUUUUUCGGGGUUAAUAAUAUCGAUUUUGCUUGGUUUGCGAACAUGGAAGAGGUAUGAUUGAUAUAGGCAUAUAGAAACAGUAAUAUCUAUUCAUAUGUGGACAAAAUUUGGUAGAAUUAUCUGAAUGUGUAACCGGUCGUAGUAGUAGGGUAGUUCAGUAUAUAAAUAUAGCAGGAGCAAUUUGAGUAUCUGAACAACACAACAAUAACGAUGCUAUAUCAGUGCAUGAGGUGGCUAACAAAAAAGUGGUGGAACAAUAAUCUGUAUACACUUUCUCUUAAUUUGAGACACAUUUCAUGUCCAUUGUUUGAAGCAGUCCAUUUGUGACGUCUUCAUUUUGGCACUGCCAGUUUUUUUGUCUGUAUAUAAUCGGAACAGUAAGCCUAAAAUAGGUUUCGGUUGCUUGGAUUUGGAUGGGAUAUCGAACCUUCACAUUGCAUUCAAUGAGCAUCACUUGAUCAAAGUGCUCAUCUUAAGAUUAUUUUUCUUUUCUUUUUCUGUUAGUGUUACCUUAUCGCGAAGUUAUCUUGAGUUAAUAUGUUGUAACGUGGUGUCAAGGGCGUUAACCCCUCGAGCAGCUGGACCGCGGCUAUGUAACUCGUACCCGCUGUCCGUCUUCUCCGGCGAGGUAAUCCUCUGCCGUAGGCUUUAGAGAGAGUGUAGGGAGAUGGGAGAUAAAGCUGAUGUAUUUCUUAUUCCUUUCACUGCCUCAUGGUUCCAUAUAAAUAGGCCACUGGCCCGACCAACUAGGUAACUUCUAAUUUAGGAAAUGACUUAUUUGGAAACCCUAAUUUAGGAAAUGACUUAUUUGGAAACCAACUCCCCUCUAAUUAAGGCCUAUCAAUUUGGCCACUAAUCUAGCCACUUUCCUUGGAUGGACCUUCCUUGGUAGUGCUGCUGCUGGCACCUUCCUUAAACGCCCUAGCCUCAGCCCUCCUGGCGUCGCGGGCCCGCGUGUAGGUGCGGCCCCACAUGACAUCUCUCCCCCCUCGAGGUCCAGCUCGUCCUCGAGCUGAAAAUCUGGGUAUGUAGCGCGAAACUUGUCGAGGUCCUCCCAGGUCGCCGAAGUGUCUGGUUCGCCCCUCCACUGGACCAGCACCUGUUGAACACCCCGUGCCAGGCGAGCGCGUUCCACCCGAGCCGGCUCUGGAACAAUCGCCCCAUGAUGGAUGUCGGGUAGGGGCGGUGGGGCGGAUGGAGGUGCCCCUACAAACUUCUUCAGGGUGCCCACGUGGAAGACGUCAUGAAUGCGGGCCUGUGGUGGUAGCUCCAGGCGAACGGCGACAUUUGUGAUGAGCUCGAUGACGCGGUAGGGCCCGAGGAAGCGGGGCUUUAGUUUGCCCGAUGUCUGUUGUGGCAGUGAGGACGGAGCUCGCUGGCGAAGUCGAAGGAGUGCCCAGUCGCCGACUGCAUAUGUCACUGGCCGGUGUUGCUUGUCGUAGUGUCGUUUCUGCACCGCUUGGGCCUGCUCGAGGCGAUAGCGCACAUCGGCCAGGAAUGCCUCGCGUUCCUCCAUGUUGCGUGCGACCGCAUCCACCCUUGUUUCACCAGGCUCAUAAGAGCGGAUGGAGGGCGGGUCACGACCAUACACCACCCGGAAUGGCGUCUCCCGGAGCGAGGACUGGUAUGUCAUGUUGUACACGUAUUCGGCCCACGGCAGCCAGCGAAGCCAUUGUCGAGGACGGUCGCCUGUGAAACAGCGGAGGUACAUAAUGAUGACGCGGUUGGCCGCCUCCGUCUGGCCGUCGGAAUGUGGGUGGAAGGCGGACGACAUGUGCAGCUUAGUGCCCAUGAGCCGCAUGAGCUCACGCCAGAACGUCGAGGUGAACACCGGGUCGCGGUCGGACACCAUGGAUUGCGGCACACCAUGGAGGCGUACAAUGUCGGCGAAGAAGGCCUGCGCCACCGACUCGGCGGUGUAUGGGUGGCCGAGGGCGAUGAAGUGGCAAUACUUGCUGAAGCGGUCGACGACGGAGAGGAUCACCGACUUCCCGUUGACACGGGGAAGUGCUUCAAUGAAGUCGAGACCGAUGUCUGCCCAAACGACGGUGGGAAUCGGUAGUGGCAUGAGGAGACCUGUCGGGUGAAGAUGCUCCGACUUGUACCGCUGACAAGUGGGACAUGCCCGGACGAAGUCCUGCACCAGACUCCGCAUGUUGGGAAAAUGGAAGUCACGACGGAGGCGGUGUAGUGUGCGCUGGACGCCCUCAUGUCCAUCAUUAUGGACAGCCGCCACAAUCUCCUGCAGAAGUGGCGAGGCCGGUGGGAUGUAUAGGCGCCUGUCAUAGAGAACCAUGUCGUCGACCACCGCCCAUGGAUCAGUGCGUGUGCCCACCCUGACUUCGUCGUGGAUGGCAGCCAGAGCGGGCUCAGUAGCCUGGGCGUGUCGGAGGCGGCUGAUGAAGUCGAAGCGGGGAGCUGAGAUUGCCUGGAGAGUCCCCGUGCCGUCCUCUUCGGUGUCGCGGCGUGAGAGCGCGUCGGCCACCGUGUUCGUUGCUCCUGACUUGUACUCGACGGAGAAGUCGAACCCGAGUAGAGAUGGCAAUGGGUACCCGCGACCCGAUACCCGAUGGGUAUUUACUCCAUUAGGGUAUAUAUGUGGGCUAAAUAUUCUACCCGUGGGUCUGUUAUUGGGCAAAAAUCUUCACCCAAUGGGUAAACGGGUAUUAGAACGUUCCGCCUUCACCCAUACCCGUUAACCCGUGGGUAUAAAAUACCCAAUAUAAACUUAUCUGAAGCAUGAACUUGGACUUCAGUCAUCCAACUUUUUUACUAUUUAACAACAAUUUAAUGACUAUGUAAUGGAACAUGUAAUGUGCUAUGUAGUACUAUCAUAGUGUUACUACUUUAUCCAAUUAUCUUUGGUGUGUUGAAUGGAUGGUUAAAUGAUGCUAGAAAAUUUUGUAAUGGUAUUUAUAUGGAUAUACUUGCCAUUUGUAUAGUAUAAUAUUUUGAUAGUUGUUUAAUUUUUGUGGGUACGGGUGACCCGAUGGGUAACCCAUACCCACAUGGGUAUGGGUAUGGGGGUAAAUCCAUACCCGCCAGCGUAUAUGGGUAACCCGGUGGGGUUAUUUUUGUGUCGUGGGUAUGGGUAUGGGGUAGUAAUACCCGGUGGGUAUUUACCCAUUGCCAUCUCUAAACCCGAGGAGCUUACCCACCCAAUGAUGCUGUGGAAUGGUCGCCAGGCGCUGAUCGAGGAGGUACUUGAGGCUGUAGUGGUCUGUCUUGACGACGAAGCGUCGCCCCCAUAGGUACGGCCUCCAAUGGCGUACGGCAAGCACGAGCCCGAUGAGUUCGCGCUCAUAGGCCGCUAGGGAGCGAUGGCGGGGCGCCACCGGUCGACUGAAGAAGGCGAGCGGAUGAGCCUCCUGUAUGAGCACCGCCCCGAAGCCAUAGGUGGACGCGUCGCACUCCACGAUGAAGGGCUUGGUGAAGUCCGGUAAUGUCAACACCGGUGCUGUCGUCACUGCCCUUUUGAGGGCACGAAAAGCGGUGCUGGCCUCGUCGGACCACACGAACCCCUCUUUCUUCAGGAGUGCUGUGAGGGGUGCUGCAAUGGCGCCGUAGUUGUGGACGAACUUGCGAUAGUAGCCUGCCAGACCGAGGAAGCCCCGCACGGCGCGCGCCGAACGAGGUUGGGGCCAGUCGUGGAUGGCCUGGACCUUCGCGGGAUCCAUAGCGACACCAGCCGCUGAAAUGACGUGGCCGAGGUAGGCGACGGAGUCAACACCAAAGGAGCACUUGGACCUCUUGACAAAGAGUCGGUGCUGGCGCAGGGUGUUGAGGACGACGCGGAGGUGCCGGAGGUGGUCCGCCCAUGAGGUGCUGUAUAUCAAGAUGUCGUCAAAGAAGACAAGCACAAACCGGCGGAGGUAGGUGCGCAGGACGUCAUUCAUCAAAGCCUGGAAUGUGGCUGGGGCGUUGCACAGCCCGAACGACAUCACCAGGAACUCGUAGAGGCCGUCGUGGGUGCGGAACGCCGUUUUAUGGACGUCCUCCUGCCGCAUCCGCACUUGGUGAUACCCCGCCAUGGAGCUCGUCGAGGAGCUCGUCGACGACCGGAAUCGGAAACGCGUCUUUGACAGUGAGCGCGUUCAACGCGCGGUAGUCGACGCAGAAGCGCCACGACCCGUCCAGCUUCUUGACAAGGAUGACCGGGGAAGAGAACGCCGAGUCACUGCGGCGGACGAUGCCCUGGUCGAUCAUGGCGGCGCACUGCCGCUCAAGUUCGUCCUUGUGCGCCGCCGGGUACCUGUACGGUCGCACCGCCACCGGGGAGGAGCCUGGCUUGAGGACGAUGUGGUGCUCGCGGCCGCGUGCUGGAGGUAGUCCGCUCGGCUCGGUGAAGACAUCGGCGAAGGCGUGUAGCAGCCCGUCGAUGAGGGUGUCGUCGGUUGUGGCGGCUAGGAGAGUCGGCGUGGAUGGAGGUGCUACACCGCGCCAGCAGACGUCCCGACCCUCCCACUGGAAUGCCAUGGUUCGGGCGGUGAAGUCCCAUACAAUGGGCCCGAGCGUGGCCAUCCAGUGCGUGCCGAGGACGACGUCGUAUCCCGCUAAGGGCAUUACGAAGAGGUCGACGCCGAAUACCAUGCCGCCCACGUCGAUCGGAGCGUUGCGAAGAACGCCCGGGCAGGCCACACGCUCCCCAUUGGCCACCGUUGCCGUGAGUCGAGGCCGCGGCUGGAUGGUCAGCCCGGAGCGUCGCGCAGCCGUUUCCCCGAUGAAGCUGUGUGUGGAGCCUGUGUCGAUGAGCGCGACGAAAGUAGCGGCGCCGACGAUCACCUGCAGUUGUACCGUAUUGCCGACGAGUACCCCUGCGACGGCGUGAAGGGAGAACACCGGUGUCUCCGUGUCGGGGUCCUCCCCUGUGGCGGACUCGUCGGCGGUGUCCAACUCGACGCCGUUGAUGUAGAAGAUCCGCGUACAGACGCGGUUGUGCCCCCGUGUGUAGCGCUCGUUGCAGUUGAAGCAGAGGCCUUGCCGACGGCGCUCCUCUUGCUCCUGCAUGGAUAGGCGUUUGCGCCCAUCUGCCAUGACCGCGGGCGUGGCUGCCUUCUCAGCCGGCGGGGCAGGCAGAGCUAGACGCGGUGCAGGGGUUGGCAGCAGACCACGGGUGGCGCCCUUGGGAGGCGGCGAUGUAUAUUGUUCCCGAAGCUCCAGCUGGCGCGCCAGGCUCAUGGCAGCCGCCAAGGACUGCGGGUUGUGUACCUGGACGUCAAGGCUGAGCGGGGGACGGAGACCCCCCGUGAACAGUUGGACCCGUUGUGCCUCGUCGAGGGGUCCUGCAUGUGGAAGGAGCGCCUGGAAGCGGUCCUGAUAGUCCGCGACAGACCCCGUGCGGCGGCAAUCAGCCAGCUCGAAGAGAGGCGCAGCGCGGAGAGGAGGACCGUAGCGCAGAUUGAGCAACUUCUUGAACCUGCGCCACGAUGGAGCACCCUCGUCCGUCUGGACCUGGAUAUACCACAUCUGCGCCCCGUGCUCCAAGUUGUAGGAUGCCAUCCAGACCUUCUCCUCCUCCAUGAUGCGCUGCUGAUGGAAGUAGGAUUCGCAGCGGUUGAUGAAGAUGAGAGGAUCGGUUUUACCAUCGUACCGGGGAAAGUCCAGCUUUUGGAACCUCGGUGGCCGGUCCCCAUGGUGCUCGCCGUAGCCGAUCUUGUGGCCGGAGGCGGACGUGCGGUCGGCUGUGAGGCUGGCGAUGGCUUGGGCGUUGGCCGCGACGGACGCCUGCAGGGACUUGAGAGCCUCGACAAAGGCCUUGAAGUCGUUGGAAUCGCCCAUGGCUGGAACGCAAGACGCCACAGAGGACGUCGGUGAUGUUGGUGCUGCGGCUGGCGUAGUGGUGGACUGGGAAGAGGAUCGCCGGGAUCGUGAUACCAGGUUGUCAAGGGCGUUAACCCCUCGAGCAGCUGGACCGCGGCUACGUAACUCGUACCCGCUGUCCGUCUUCUCCGGCGAGGUAAUCCUCUGCCGUAGGCUUUAGAGAGAGUGUAGGGAGAUGGGAGAUAAAGCUGAUGUAUUUCUUAUUCCUUUCACUGCCUCAUGGUUCCAUAUAAAUAGGCCACUGGCCCGACCAACUAGGUAACUUCUAAUUUAGGAAAUGACUUAUUUGGAAACCCUAAUUUAGGAAAUGACUUAUUUGGAAACCAACUCCCCUCUAAUUAAGGCCUAUCAAUUUGGCCACUAAUCUAGCCACUUUCCUUGGAUGGACCUUCCUUGGUAGUGCUGCUGCUGGCGCCUUCCUUAAACGCCCUAGCCUCAGCCCUCCUGGCGUCGCGGGCCCGCGUGUAGGUGCGGCCCCACAUGACACGUGGUUCCCUCUCCAAAGUUCCGUGUGACAAAAAAAUGGCAUUUUUCUCAGUAUUCAUUUUCAAUUUUAGAAUAGAUUAGUAUUGUAGAUAAAAGAUGAUACUCUCUUUGUUCUUUUUUAUUUGUCGCAAUUUAGUUCGAAAAUAAACUAGUGGUCGACAAGUAUUCGAGAAUGGAGGUAGUACUACUAUUCAUCAACAGUACUAAUGCGGUUCUUUAUCCAAAGUUUCGUGAGAAAGAAAUGACAUUUUUUUCUUCAGUAUUCAUUUUAAAUUUUAGAAUUGAUUAGUGUUGCAGAGAAAAGAUAAUACUACUCUUCAUCAGUACUUAGUCAACAUUUAUUCGUCAACUGCAGUCCACACACAGAUCAGCGAUGGUUCUAAUAGCAUGUUAUAGUAUUUACUGCACACAUCUAACCAACCACGAGAACUAACAACGGAUUAAGAGUGUGUGCAGAUAGUGGAUUAAAAGGGGGUGCGGUAAAUGUGAGGAGGUUUUGAGAGAAAUAAAUGGUUUGGUGAACAAUUUAACCUAUUAGAAACCGAUAUAUAGGAAUCUAACUCAGAUAGAGUACUGGUGUACCUGUUCCAGGCUUGGAUGACUUUGCGGAGCUGUCGGAGGCCGUCGUCGCGCCCGCAAGGACGGAGCGAGAGAGGCCAAGAGGCGCCGGGUGGUCCACGCAGUUCUAAGCCCUCUAGUGGGGACUGGCGGAGAAGGGUCGUGGCGCCGGCGCCGGCGCCGCAAUAGAAGGCUCUGCGUUCAGGCGGAGGACGCAGGCGGGAUUCUAAUAUCUUGCAGAUGCGAGGCGAGGCGAGGAAUUGGUGGCAGUCGGUGCUGCGCCCGAAAGCUCCG